GGUAGGAUGGCUGAGUCCAAGCGGCGGGCUGUAGUCCCGCAUACAGAGGUUCAAGCCCUCUUCUUAUCA
Molecule: transfer RNA, 69 nt
Filed under: Clinocottus analis (woolly sculpin)
Lineage: Eukaryota; Metazoa; Chordata; Actinopteri; Perciformes; Cottidae
Description: tRNA-Tyr
Rfam family: tRNA
About the family: Transfer RNA (tRNA) molecules are approximately 80 nucleotides in length. Their secondary structure includes four short double-helical elements and three loops (D, anti-codon, and T loops).
Source: RNAcentral